Molecule: long non-coding RNA, 192 nt
Organism: Thalassophryne amazonica
Lineage: Eukaryota; Metazoa; Chordata; Actinopteri; Batrachoidiformes; Batrachoididae
Exons: 3
Source: RefSeq, a predicted model, not a curated record
AAAAAGGAACUAAAAAUCGCAUUUAUGGGAACCUCCUGAAAAUUUUAUUAACUUUUGGAACAUAGUUGGUCAUAUGAAAUCGAUGAGGUUUUAAGCAUUUUUAGACCUUAAAAACAAAUUUAAAUUUAGUAAUUUAAAUGCAUUCUUUAAUGCAACUAAUAGGAAAUUCUAAACACAUCCACUUGUAUAACA